Long non-coding RNA from Callithrix jacchus (white-tufted-ear marmoset), 4789 nucleotides. RefSeq lists it as uncharacterized. The record is from RefSeq and is a predicted model, not a curated record. Lineage: Eukaryota; Metazoa; Chordata; Mammalia; Primates; Cebidae.
ACAUACACGGCAGCAAAAUCACUGGAGUCCAUGGUUUUUGUCACACACACAGAGCACAGAUUUUUUUGAUUAUGUAGAUUUCUUUUCCUACUGCAGUUUCAUAUGCAAAGCAUGCAUCAGCCACAUCCAUGCUAUCUCCUAAAGCAGUCAUUCUGAAACCCAAUCUGGGGACAGUGCAGACUAAAUAAAAUUUCAUUUUGAUUUGGCCUCCCGCUGCGAAUGGGACUGCUUUGUCUCAGCCGACAGAACCAGCAAGCCAGAAAGAUGAGGAAACUGAGCCAUCAAAACUGAGUGACUUGCUUGAGACCAUGCAGCUAUGGAGGGAAAGACCAGGAUCUGAAGCCAACUGGGUCUCCCAAGCCUGAGUCACUGAACCAUUUCACUUCUUGGAAAAACUUAAUAGUCACUGCGGCUCACCUAGACCACGGACAGCAUGGAGUUAAUGAACUUUGAUCAAAAACUUAUGGUGCAUUGACUGAGCAUUUAUUCUUUUAAGACAAUAUAUUUGGAUGUCUUUUGCAUGUACAGAAUUCAAAUUAUUAGUAAUGUCCACAAAAGUUGCCCUAUAUUUUUAUGCUGAAAUACAAUAAAAUGUCAACUUCGUUCCAGUGGCCUUUAUACUGUACACAUUAUGUUUAAUGUCAUUCUGUAUUGUAGCUAAAUUUAUUAUCUAACUUGUUUAUGCCAAUAAGCUGAUGCAUAUGAAAGAUACCUGAAAAAAAUUAUCUUCUCAAAACACUUCAGAAAAAGCCAUAAAAGUAUUAUGAUAAAAUAUCAGAGGAAAAUAUAAAAUUGAGGGGAGGUGAAAUUAUGCUUUGUAGCCCUUGCUCACGAUAUUUGAGAAAGUAAACAUUUCUGUCCUUUAAAUGAUUUCUGAAUUUCUCUAACAAUGCUGCUCUAUUUUCUCAGUCAAUCUUGCUGGAUAGCUCAGUUUUCCUUUGCAGUUUGCAGAGAAUGUGGAGGGAAUAUAGGCCUGUUUUUUCUCUUUCUCACAUAACACUGCCGAAGUCAUCCCUCACCUCCAGAGCUGGCCUUGUCCCUAGAGCCCACAUGUGCUCUGUGGCUCAGAAUGGUCUACAGGACCUUCCAGAUCCAAGCACAGGGUAAAGGUUUGAAGUGUAUAUUUUUAAUUUUUAGUACAUAUUUACUGAGCUCCCAGCGCUGUGCACACAAUUGUUCCCUCCAUGGAGCAUGGUUGAAAAUUCCCAGAGAGAAAAUUCCCUUUCUCGGAACACAGUGUGAGACAGUUCCCUGGCUGAUAGCCCCCCAAGGCAAACUUGAUGACAGGCGCUUUCAAGAUUCUAACAAGAGCCCUGGGCUCUCAUUGCAUGCAUGACAUCAAAAGCACUUUAUUUUCUUACACAAUAGUUCUACUGGGGCUCUCCAGGCUGCAGACAUGGAAUUGGGGCUUACGGGCCAGGAGAUUGAAUAAGGAUACCUGUAGGGACCCACAUGGAGAAAGCGAAGGAGACGAGGCAGGACUAGAAGGGAAAAGGAGGCCUCAACAUAGUCCAGCUGAUCUUGGGGAGUUUUGAUCUUGGGGAGCUCUGGAGAUAAAAGCCUUUCCAUGCAGUCUCCAGUUGAGGCAAGAGGGUCAGGUCUUUAUUCCCCUACACUAAUCAAUGGCUGAUACAGGAUUCCCCAAGAAGAGGCAUGACCUUAAGUCAGGUUGCUCUCUCCAGCCAGGGACGCCUUCGGGAGAGGCUGGCAGCUGAUCUGCUACCACCAUGUCCAGCAGCUGACGAAAGGUGUGUUUUAAGUCCUAAUGAGAUGUGGAGAGCCCAACACAAUAUCCACUGAACUCUCUCUGUCUUAUCUUAAAUCUAGAAUCAUGUGCCAUUUAUAUUAUUAAAUAGAAAGCAAAGAAAUCCAGAGAGCUAACAACUCUCAAAAAAGACAGGAUUUUAGAGGUACCCAAGGUCAGUGCCCCCUAAGGUAGAAAUUACUCCUACAAUGCCCUAGCAGUGAACCAUCUCUUUGCACACCUCCAGAGAUGGGAGUUCAUCACUGGGAACCUCUAGUUGUAAUGUGGUCUUUACUUAUAUCUCCUAGGUGGAAAUUGCACUUUGAUAACAGUGACUAUAUUGACAAAUUACUGUCAGUGCGCUGAAACUAGGAAAGAGUUAGUGUGUUUGUGCAAACUAAUUUGGACCUGGGCCUGAAAUAACAGAGCAGGUCCUUCAACUUAUUUUACAGAUAUUUUCCACUAGUCAGAGUUAUCUUUUUAAGAUAAAAGUCAGAUUAAAUUUCUUUAGACUCUGAGCUCUCCACAAUUGGACAGUAACUCAUACCAGUCACCCUGCCUAUGAGCCUCCCUGGUCUGAAGCCUGAACCUGGGUCAGCCCUCAUCUCACACCCUCCCCUCACCCUUCAGCCCCUUUGCCAUAGCCAUGUGGGCCUUGCUGGUGCUCUGCAGAUGCCCCCACCUCAUUCUGCUACAGGACUUUGCACUUAAUGGGAAGCAUAGCUUGGUGAUCUCCCCUGAGACCUUUGUGAGUUUCUACUCAAAUGCCAAAUUCUCAGAAGAGUUUCCCUGCCACACCCCAUCUCCUGAGUCUCUUAACUCCUCAUGCUGCUUGCUUUCUCUUCACAGCUCUUAUUAAUUUCUAAUAAGGAAGAUAUAUAUGUGUAUGUUUGAGUGUAUGUAUGUUACACAUAUAUGUAUACAUACACACAUAUACAUACAGACAUAUGUGUACAUAUGCAUACAUACACAUAUAUACACAUUCACAUAUAUAUGUAUCUGUCUCUAGUUAACCUUUGAACAACGAAAAGGUUAGGGCCACUAACCCUCCUCAGUCGAAAAGCCACCUACGACUUUUGACUCCCCUGAAAUGUAACUACUCAUAGCCUACUGUUGGCCAGAAGCCUUGCUAAUAACAUAGCCAAUUAACACAUAUUUUGUGUGUUAUAUGUACUAUAUAUUGUAUCUUACAAUAAAUAAAGCUGGAGAAAAAAAUGUUAUUAAGAAAAUCAUAAGGAAGAGAAAAUAGAAUUUACCAUUCAUUAAGUGGAAGUGGAGCAUCAUAAAGGUAUUCAUCCGUCUCCAUGUUGAAUAGGCUGCUGGGGAGGAGGAAGGGGAGGAGUGGAUUUUGCUGUCUUAGGGCACAGAGGUGGAAGAAAUUGUAUCUGUAAGUGGACCUAUGCACUUCAAACCUAUGUUACUCAAGAGACAACUGUGUAAUAAAAAUGUGCAUGUGUGUAUUGAACCACUACCUCUCUAAGCUUCUAGAACAGUUCCUGAUACAUAGCAGCAUUAAAUAAAUAUUUGUUGGGUGAAGUCAUAAAUAAAUGACAUCAAUGAACAAAUAGGUUGCUUAAAAGGUAUGGAUAAUGUAGUUUGUUAGUUACUGAAAUUUUUAAAAAGUGUAUGAGAAUAAAUAUCAGCUAAAAUAAAAUAAUCUAAUGAAUGGAAAUAAACAUGUUUUCAUACUGAGUUACAGUCAAAGAGAAGAGCAUUUUUAUCACAGUUCCUUUCUACACACUUUGACCACUGGGAUCAUGUUUCAUUCUGGUUUUAUUCUCCAAACUCCCAUCACGGUACCUUAAAUUAUUAGGUACCCACUUGAUGUUGGUUGCAUUUAAUGGAUUUAGUCUAUUUAACCUCAUCAUCAAGACAGAAGACCACAGUCCCUGAUGCUGUUAUGAAUGUAGAAGGCCAGCAUGUUCCAAGUGUCAGUAAGUCUUUUUCUAGAUCAUCUUUAAUACUAUUAGACUAGUGUACCAAUUUUCCUCAAAAUGUAUAAGUAGACUUGUGAAAACAACAUUCAAUAUUGCAUUGCUAUUUAAGAGGAUUUGCUAACUUUCAUAGGAAUGAAAGGCCCAUUGAGUGGAGCUCAGAAGCACUAGCCCAUCACGACAUUUUAUGGGUGUACUCUUCUCAGCCCCAUCGUGCCCAGAGGUGUUGCCUUCAUGCUCUACAGGACGACUCAGGACACACUUGGCUGUGGGAGGGAGGCAUGUGGGGAGUCAGGCUGGGUUCCUGUAUUUUAGUUUGGUAAACCAGUCACUCAACCUCCUUAGGAGAAACUGGUAUCAUGUAUCUUGAAGCAAAUAAAUGACUGACUCUGACAUUCCCCUUUUAGGAUAAUCUGUUUCCCUAGAAAUGCUCUCCAGCAUUCUUGCCACCAUGACUUUGGGACACACUGACCAUGAGGAUGAGCUGGUCAGUGAUGGACAGGAGUCCAGAUUAUCUGAGACAUAAUAAUAAGGACACUGAUGUGUAAAUAUUUGAAAUAUCCAAUAGGAAGCAUUCUAACUGUGCAAACAUGAUCCACAUCUCAUGGAGUUCAGGCCAAGGCUGCUAACAGUGACUUUUUGGAAAAGAAAAACAAGGAAGAGGAAAGAACAGAGAAACAAGGAAUGCAGAAGAAAGCAGGAACCACUAAAACAGGAGCAAUAUGCCCUGUGUAUUCUGUUUCCUUGUAAAGCUAUGAAGCAUGUUAAGGAGACACUUCAUUUUUUGAGGAUUCAUGCUCUUGUUUAUAUUAUAAUGAAAACAACCAUGUUCUUUCUAAAAAUUUAGGCAAUGCACUCAUGCACGUAAAAGUAAAACAAAAUCACCUGUAAUCCUACCACACGCAGUUCAGCACUUACUGAUCUUUUCAUAGGGAUUCUAAAAAUAUCCUUUUCUCUAUAGAAUACAGUUAACUUCUGUUACCUAAUGACUAAGUGUUAACCAUUUUUAAAUUCUGCAAUUUUGUAUUUGGCUAGAAAAAAGGAGCAGUCACUCUAUGUGGUAUUUCUGUAUAUUUAUUCAUUCAUUCAAUAAACAUUUUUAAAGUACCUA